This is a long non-coding RNA of Myxocyprinus asiaticus (Chinese sucker), 412 nucleotides long. RefSeq lists it as uncharacterized. NCBI's taxonomy places the organism in Eukaryota, Metazoa, Chordata, Actinopteri, Cypriniformes, Catostomidae. The transcript is spliced from 3 exons. The record is from RefSeq and is a predicted model, not a curated record.
CACAUUUACAGCAUUCCAUUAGUUACAACAACUGUAAAAUGGCCAAUUCAAAGUAUACAUUUUACACACAUGGGGCUCAGGAGCAAAUGUGCACUGGAUACCUUUACAAAUCUCCCCCAGAGAAUCAGUUAAGACACAGAAAUCAUGGAUGCGGAAGUAUUUCGUGCUUCUAAAGUACAGUCACCACACAUGCAAGCUUAAAUGCUUUAAAAGUGAAGUCAAGAACAAGCCACUGGGAGUCAUAGAUUUGUCUGGGUAUGAAUGCUAAAUAAUUGCAAAUGAAUAAUUAAAUGUUUGUACAUUCUGUGGGGCUGCAGAGAGAGAACAGUUUUUUUUCUAUCUGCAUUCGAUGUGGAAAUGGAUUCACAAAUAUUUGAGAUGUUCUCCUUCUUGUGUACUGUUUAUUAAAGUA